Molecule: long non-coding RNA, 326 nt
Filed under: Phoenix dactylifera (date palm)
Lineage: Eukaryota; Viridiplantae; Streptophyta; Magnoliopsida; Arecales; Arecaceae
Description: long non-coding RNA (PDAC_LNC011701)
Source: RNAcentral
CUAGGAUGUCUAUCUUGCAAACAUGAUCUAAUCCAAUUAGACCCUUAAUAAGUUUUCUUGUGUGUAACCCAUUGGGUUCCAUACUUAGCCAGCAAUAGGUGUGAGUGCGAGUUGACCCAACUUGAUUAGAACUCUUCUAAUCGAUUUAAGUCCAAACUGCGCGAAUCCGAACUUAACAAUUAGAAUCCUUUCUAAUUGGUGAUCGAAUCAAACUCUUUAAUUCGAUCAAACCUAUAAGACAAGAUUGACGUCUAGCAACGUGUCAUGUCUAUCCGAAAAAUAUGAAAUUUGGUGGAAAUACCAAAAAUAUCCUUCAGUGGCAAGUU